Molecule: ribosomal RNA, 497 nt
Filed under: uncultured bacterium
Lineage: Bacteria
Description: partial 16S ribosomal RNA
Rfam family: Bacterial small subunit ribosomal RNA
Source: RNAcentral
GAUGAACGCUGGCGGCGUGCCUAAUACAUGCAAGUCGAGCGAACAGACGAGGAGCUUGCUCCUCUGACGUUAGCGGCGGACGGGUGAGUAACACGUGGAUAACCUACCUAUAAGACUGGGAUAACUUCGGGAAACCGGAGCUAAUACCGGAUAAUAUAUUGAACCGCAUGGUUCAAUAGUGAAAGACGGUUUUGCUGUCACUUAUAGAUGGAUCCGCGCCGCAUUAGCUAGUUGGUAAGGUAACGGCUUACCAAGGCGACGAUGCGUAGCCGACCUGAGAGGGGGAUCGGCCACACUGGAACUGAGACACGGUCCAGACUCCUACGGGAGGCAGCAGUAGGGAAUCUUCCGCAAUGGGCGGAAGCCUGACGGAGCAACGCCGCGUGAGUGAUGAAGGUCUUCGGAUCGUAAAACUCUGUUAUUAGGGAAGAACAAAUGUGUAAGUAACUAUGCACGUCUUGACGGUACCUAAUCAGAAAGACACGGCUAACUACGUG